UGGGGGAUCGUCCAAUGGUAGGACAGCGGACUCUGACUCCGUUAAUCUAGGUUCGAAUCCUAGUCCCCCAGCCA
RNAcentral lists this transfer RNA (74 nucleotides) under Gammaproteobacteria bacterium. RNAcentral describes it as "tRNA-Gln". It matches the Rfam family "tRNA". Rfam says of the family: Transfer RNA (tRNA) molecules are approximately 80 nucleotides in length. RNAcentral also lists the same sequence under 2 other names. The record is from RNAcentral. Lineage: Bacteria; Pseudomonadati; Pseudomonadota; Gammaproteobacteria.